AGCACUUGUGUGUGUUUUUGUUCAACUUGUGGAUAAAGACUUAUAGGCGGGUGCAAAAAAUAAAUUGUCUUUUGCAACCCAGAACUCAUUAUACAGUAUGUGUUUUGAUACAUAGAAGAAGGAAUAUG
This 128-nucleotide small nucleolar RNA is filed under the name Castor canadensis (American beaver). RNAcentral's name for it is "Small nucleolar RNA SNORA40 (ENSCCNG00000028548.1)". It matches the Rfam family "Small nucleolar RNA SNORA40". From Rfam's summary of the family: The snoRNA ACA 40 belongs to the H/ACA family of snoRNAs and guides the pseudouridylation of 28S rRNA subunit at position U4565. NB This family has a high threshold value to exclude a large number of closely related sequences that do not appear to have conserved H and ACA boxes, and may be pseudogenes. The record is from Rfam by way of RNAcentral. Lineage: Eukaryota; Metazoa; Chordata; Mammalia; Rodentia; Castoridae.